RNAcentral lists this ribosomal RNA (392 nucleotides) under Brochothrix sp. DGGE band 38. RNAcentral describes it as "bacterial SSU rRNA". It matches the Rfam family "Bacterial small subunit ribosomal RNA", at positions 963 to 1356 of the family's 1533-position model. Lineage: Bacteria; Bacillati; Bacillota; Bacilli; Caryophanales; Listeriaceae. The record is from RNAcentral.
GAAGAACCUUACCAGGUCUUGACAUCCUUUGACCAUUNUGGAGACAGAACUUUCCCUUCGGGGACAAAGUGACAGGUGGUGCAUGGUUGUCGUCAGCUCGUGUCGUGAGAUGUUGGGUUAAGUCCCGCAACGAGCGCAACCCUUGAUUUUAGUUGCCAGCAUUUAGUUGGCCAUUCUAAAGUGACUGCCGGUGUAAANACGGAGGAAGGUGGGGAUGACGUCAAAUCAUCAUGCCCCUUAUGACCUGGGCUACACACGUGCUACAAUGGAUAAUACAAAGGGUCGCGAAGCCGCGAGGUGGAGCCAAUCCCAUAAAAUUAUUCUCAGUUCGGAUUGCAGGCUGCAACUCGCCUGCAUGAAGCCGGAAUCGCUAGUAAUCGUAGAUCAGCAUG